Anguilla anguilla (European eel) is the source of this 1505-nucleotide long non-coding RNA. RefSeq lists it as uncharacterized. The record is from RefSeq and is a predicted model, not a curated record. Lineage: Eukaryota; Metazoa; Chordata; Actinopteri; Anguilliformes; Anguillidae. The transcript is spliced from 3 exons.
GUAUUUCCCUCUCCUGAUAGCUCUAAAGCACAUGGACGAGAGGAUGCAAAAGGCUCCAGAAAAAGCAUGUUCAUCAACACAGCAAUUCCUCAAAAAAAAUGUGUCUCGGUCUGUCUUGAAAAGUGGGCUUUGAGAUAAGUGCGCAUGACAAUGGAGGCUGCAAAGGAUGAUGGGAGAACAAGGCCUGGCCAUGUCUUUGGAUUAAUGGUGGUCCCUGGUCUCUGGACUCAACAGAUUGAAGAAGCAGCAGCAGCUGCCUGAUAGAGGAUGCAGCUUUCAGAGACACUAUGGUAAACAUGUACAUUCAUAUACCAGCCAGUUUUAAGUGUUAAUUGCAUUAUUUGCAUGAAAUGUUGUUACCAAUGUAGCAUUAAAGCACAACUACAACCGCUCACCUGCUAUAGGUAUAAUGAAGUUGCGACAGGCAGCAGUUCCCCGUGUAAACAAUUUGCCACAAUGUCAUGUCCUGUCUCAUGCCAUGAAACCACUCUUGCAUCCUGUGCCACAGUGAUAAGCUGUCCCCAUUGCCCUUCAGCCUCAGCACGAAAGAAUAAUAGGAAAAGCUCGAUGCUACUCAGUGAGAAGAUUGCCAAAAAUCCAUAACUGAAAACAAUUGAAGGACACACGCUUCAAGUGUAAGACGCAAGUCUCCCGCUGCAAAGUUCAUUCACAUCCAUUUUGAAUGGUGCGUGAAAACAACAGCUAUCUGCAAAGUUUUUCUCUCGUCCAUCUUUACUGCUGGAAUCAAGCAGGGUUCAGGCUGGAGGGGGAAGAAUGCUUGCCAGUCAGCCAAAAGUGCUCUAUCACUCACAGCUCUUAGCAUCCCCUGCUUCUCGGCCAUAGAUCUCUUGCCUAAUAACACAGCUAGCGGGAGACAGCCCUUCCUCAUCUGGCUGAUGUGAGAUCAUUGAUGCCGUGACUUUUUGAGCCAACGCAAACACAGAGGUUUGCACGGUUAUUGACAGUUAAAUAAGUUCCACCUGUAGAAAAUGAGGGAGAUGUCUCCUCACGGCAGAUUGGAAGUUGUGUUUCAGGAAUAAGUUGGGCAAUGAGGAUGCCACUCUUCAGUGCAGGGAAUGGAGAUUUAUGGGGUUUGGAAUUACAGUAUUUGGCAGCAGGGUGCUGAUGUGGAGUAAUUUUCAGCAGCUGGGGGGAGAAGGGCGGGUCCCACUACAACCACGAGAGCAGUCAGACUCAGGAAAGAGAGAGGAACCCACAAGCAAACGUUUCUUAAGGGAAGGCCUACACAUUUUACAAAGAAACUCUUCUUUUCCAACAGACGCAUAAUCUAUUAUAAAAUAUAAUUUACAAUGUUUACUGUUGAACUAGAUAGUGAAUGCUGUAAGACAAGGCCACCUGGUCCAAACCACCCCACCACUCUACCUCAUCUCCAGUAAAAAAAACAGGUACGGUAAAUAUCAAGCCCAUAUUGAACCUGGGGCGAACUGGGUUGCUUGCAGAACAGGUGCUGCAUUGAUCAUUCAGGAAAAUCCAUUCACGUUGAG